GCACUAGUUCUCUAGUGCAUAUACUAAAAUUGGAACGAUACAGAGAAGAUUAGCAUGGCCCCUGUGCAAGGAUGACACGCACAUUCGUGAAGCGUUCCUCAUUAAA
This 106-nucleotide small nuclear RNA is filed under the name Oryzias melastigma (Indian medaka). Lineage: Eukaryota; Metazoa; Chordata; Actinopteri; Beloniformes; Adrianichthyidae. The record is from RNAcentral.